CAUGAGAAAUAAAAAGGGGCAGAAACCAUCCUACCCAAAGACCCUCAUCUGAUUGCUCAGGUGUGCAGUCGGGGGAGUCGGGUCUCGCAGGCGCUUUAAAGAAGCGCCCAGGUGACUCCAAUGUGUAUAUAACAGGGCUUAUCAAACCUGGACGUACAUCCAGAUCCCCUCCCCCAGCCAAGCCAGGCUAAGCCAAGCCACCAGGCCACAGAGGCUCUGGACUGUCGCAUCCACCCCGGGGUGCCAGGAUAUCUCAAGAACAGGGCCAUGUUCUUCUGAGAGGCAGAAACUCAGCUCUGAAACUCAAGACAAUAGAAAUCCGAAGACAGGGCUCCUCCCCUGAUCUGAAGAGAACUCACAGUCCCAGCCUGCCAUUCCAGGUGACUGCAGCCUGCCAACAUCUGCCUUCUGACCUGCAGAGGCCAUGCCUCCCGGAUCUUCAGUCAGGUGAUCAAUAGGAACUGAACUCAGCCUGGACUACUUCUUCAGGAGCCUCCCGCCUGCUCCCACCCCAGUCCCUUCCCAGUCCAUUCGCUCUGGGAAUGAGCCGCAAGACAGGUCCUCAGACCUCUCC
Long non-coding RNA from Meriones unguiculatus (Mongolian gerbil), 574 nucleotides. RefSeq lists it as uncharacterized. The transcript has 3 exons. NCBI's taxonomy places the organism in Eukaryota, Metazoa, Chordata, Mammalia, Rodentia, Muridae. The record is from RefSeq and is a predicted model, not a curated record.